This is a long non-coding RNA of Xenia sp. Carnegie-2017, 532 nucleotides long. RefSeq lists it as uncharacterized. Lineage: Eukaryota; Metazoa; Cnidaria; Anthozoa; Malacalcyonacea; Xeniidae. The record is from RefSeq and is a predicted model, not a curated record. The transcript is spliced from 2 exons.
GCUUGUGCAUAUUGACCAUCAAAUGCAUAAGCACGCAUGCGCCAUGUUACGUUUUGCUACGAUACGUUACGGUAAGUGGCUAGUGGAAAACAGGCUUAAGGGACUGGAGAACUCUGAAAGUUUGGGACUUUCUAUUUGGACCAUUAACAUUGGAAAGUUUACAAAAUUUGUCUCAAUUAUUAAAUUAUGAUAGCUACCUACCAUGAAAGUAAAGACGUAACGAUGCGUGGCAUUCAACAUAACUAAAGAUUCUCCAGUGACACAAAGGACCUUUUGCAAUCACAGCAUUGAUGAAACUUCUUGUGAAUGUACUGAUGGACAACCAUGGAGUUGCCUUGGUCAAACUCUUUUGGGCAAACUCCGCAUUUGUAGAUGCCAUUUUCAUCAGGUGUAAGAUUGCUGGCAUCAAUAACCGUAGGUUGAGGCUGAACACUGUUUUCCUUCAUCUCUUUAUCAACUUAAUAAAUAAGUGGAGUGAGAACUUUGCAAAAACAUAAAAUAAACAUAAAUGGUGUUGUUCAGAAUGAGAAAA